AUCAAUGUGGCAGAUUAGUGCAAUGAACUUAAGAUUCAUAUAUAAAUACUAGUAUUUUAUUGGAA
Molecule: transfer RNA, 65 nt
Filed under: Scaphoideus nigrivalveus
Lineage: Eukaryota; Metazoa; Arthropoda; Insecta; Hemiptera; Cicadellidae
Description: tRNA-Leu
Source: RNAcentral